RNAcentral lists this ribosomal RNA (447 nucleotides) under uncultured bacterium. RNAcentral describes it as "bacterial SSU rRNA". It matches the Rfam family "Bacterial small subunit ribosomal RNA", at positions 29 to 521 of the family's 1533-position model. The record is from RNAcentral.
AGCGAACGCUGGCGGCAGGCUUAAUACAUGCAAGUCGAGCGCCCGUAGCAAUACGGGAGCGGCAGACGGGUGAGUAACGCGUGGGAACGUACCCUUUGGUUCGGAACAACACAGGGAAACUUGUGCUAAUACCGGAUAAGCCCUUACGGGGAAAGAUUUAUCGCCGAAGGAUCGGCCCGCGUCUGAUUAGCUAGUUGGUGAGGUAACGGCUCACCAAGGCGACGAUCAGUAGCUGGCUGAGAGGAUGAUCAGCCACACUGGGACUGAGACACGGCCCAGACUCCUACGGGAGGCAGCAGUAGGGAAUAUUGGACAAUGGGGCAACCCUGAUCCAGCCAUGCCGCGUGAGUGAUGAAGGCCUUAGGGUUGUAAAGCUCUUUUGUGCGGGAAGAUAAUGACGGUACCGCAAGAAUAAGCCCCGGCUAACUUCGUGCCAGCCGCCGCGGU